UGAGCUAGGAAAAAAAUAUGCUGUGCGAGAUGCAUAAAGAGUUCACAUCUGAACAUCACAUUAUCAAAGAAAAAUCAAGUUGAAACUUGAAGGAUGCGUCAUUGUCACAAAAUUAUAAUCAACACGAACAAAACCAACAGAUCACACCCAAAAAGAAAAUAGACGGAGAGUUGGAUUUACAAAAUUCCAAUUCUACCCACACUAGAGAGAGAAAGGAUGAUUUCCCAGACACUAAUAUAGCCGGGCCCACCUCUCCUGUGCAAAUUUAUCAUUUAAUGGCCCUACAAAUAUUUUUCCCCCCUUCUGUCAAGAAAAAGAAAAAAACAAAACAGAAAUAAGGAAAAAGAAAGAAUGGAAAUUAAUUAAGAAUGUUCAGGUUAACAAAACCUUUCUUUUGUCAUUUCCGAGUCUUUGUCUCUCUGGCAGCCUUCUUAUCCUCCUUUCCAGGUACAAACCUUGGCAAAUUUAACAGGGUGUUGACGCGAGAAACUCCUUCUAGGGCAGACCACUCUAUCCCAGAUUCUAAUUGCAUUUCAUCUUGCUUUGAGGAAUCCUCAUCUGCACUUCCAUCUAAGAGUACCUCUUUCCCACUCCGCACGGUACCUGAACGGCCCAGUCCAGUUGCACCAGAGGGAUCAUCCUCUUUCUGACUGUCAAGGUCAGUUUGAUCCACUGAAGUAGGCUGCUGCUCUUUUGUAUUAGCGUUGGAUGCAGUGGAUAAAUUGCUAGUGCCAAGGAAGAGGCAAACUACAGCACAAUCAUCCACUUUGGAAGUUGGAUACUUGCAUCUCCAAGCUCGAACUGCUGACUCAACCAAGGCUCUUGCUGCAGAGGAACGUGAUGGGGCUGAAGAUACAAUGUCUACCACUUCUUUAUUUGAGAGAACAUCCCAAAUCUACAAGAAAUCAAAACACAAUAACAUCCCAACAAAAUGAAAAUGCAGAAUGUUAAAUUCAUUCAAUAUUUGAGAGAAUGGAUUACAUGCUAUACUAGAGUCUAAUUCUUACCCCAUCAGUUGCCAAAACUAUAAACUCAUCCUUAUCAGUUAGGCGCUGGCAGGAUAUAUCGGGCACAGAGAUAAGGCCAAAAUCCUUCAAGCAAAAAUCACCAAAUGCUCGUGCCAUGGCAAGGCCAGGAGAGUCAUUGUUUGGUAGCCAGACCCUAGCUACCUCAGGUUCAUCCUGAAGAGCAAAAACACGCCCUUUACACUUCCGUAUUCUUUCCGCUUCCGCUGGAAGAUUUGGUUUAAGAUCAACAGUCAACUGAACUGCAACAAGAGAGUCGUCCUUGUCCCUUGUACCCAGUACAGCCCUGGAGUCCCCAACAUUACCAAUGACAAGAUAUUGACCCUUCUUGACCAAUGUAACUGCUGUUGUACCGCUGCAAAAGCAAUCAAUAUUUGCAUGUAGUCUCAGUUCCCUGUCCAUGAUUUUGAAAGCCUUGAGAAAUGACUCUUUCAGUGUCUGAAAAAUCUCUGGAUGCUUUUCAGUUUCCUCAAGAUCAACAGAGGCCCUAGAUUCUUCAUCAGCAGAUAUAAAUGCAGUGUCUUCAGAGUUCAUGCUUCCGGUAGUACUAAGGCUAAUCUCUUUGAGAACAUCUUCACUGGUUUUAUUGACUUCCAAGUGAGCACUUAGUUUCAGGGGAAGGUGAUCCCUCACUCUUUUAGCAACCAUAUGACCAUAAGGACCAUGGCCAUCAAAAACUCCACAAAAUACUGUAUCUGUCCUUGAUCCAAAGUUCUCCCAAACAAUCAUGGCAUCCUGAUUGGUCCCUUUCUUGCCUUGUUGGGUAAACAGUGAAGCAAUAUUGCUCGACCCAUUUAAGAACAACCUCCCUGGAAUCCUAUGAAGCGGCUCUUCCCUCCUAUAGUCAAAAGAAGAAUUCCGUGACCCUGGUCGCUUCUUCGAGUUCUUCCUCUUCUUGAUCCCAAAAGCAGGAGAGGAAGGCGUACCAGGACGAGGGCUCCUACUUUCUGCAGACAAGCAGGACCCCAUCCUGAGGGCCCUGAUAAUAUCUAAUAUGCACUCCAGACCAGCCAGACAAUAGCACCCACUAUUUUCAGAAGAGGGAUCCGUAAGAACUGAUUGAUUAAGAAUCAGAAAUGUAGUUUUGAAGUUACAGGCCAAUGAUGGUAUCAAUCAACCAAAUUCACCCUAUACUUUCCAAAUAUUUAACAUGCAAUAUCUCCUUCAAAAACAAAAUCCCCUUCAAGAUACGAAAUCAAAAAGGCAUUUAUUCCAAGAUUGUUGCCCAGCAAGUUCAUCCAAAUCCCAAAAUUUUCAGCAAAUACAACAAAAAAUUGAGCUUAAAAUCUUCACUGGAGCACUCAAAACAGCAGUUCCUGUCCAGAUCAAGCUUUGAUUGAUAGAGAUGGAAGCAAAACCAAUAGAAAUGGGAAAAACAAAGCUACAACAAAAAAUUGUUCAGAACAGAGAAGAAAGUUCAAUGCUGGCAUAAAAAUACCAUGCUCAAGGAAAGCAAGACAAAACAAAAUGGGUAGAUAGUAGAAUUUGGAAAGAGAGAUGGGAUUUUGUAGAGAAAGAUGGAGUGCAAGUGGGUAAGGGAACCAGAAAUGGGAAGGGCAGCAGAAAUCGAUUAGGAGAAAUAAUAGGAACCGCCAACACCAGAAAGAAGAAGAAAAUUGCACAAAAACCGCUCUAAAUAAUUACUUAUAGAGGGAGAUCGGAGGAAAGACAAUUAUAGAGAGAGAAAGAGAAGUACGUUCUCUUCUUCUCUCCCUUGUCUGUCACUUUCGCAAAGUUUCAUAUGGCGAGAUUUUCUGAGAGAGAUU
This 2791-nucleotide unclassified non-coding RNA is filed under the name Hevea brasiliensis (rubber tree). The record is from RNAcentral. Lineage: Eukaryota; Viridiplantae; Streptophyta; Magnoliopsida; Malpighiales; Euphorbiaceae.